RNAcentral lists this ribosomal RNA (295 nucleotides) under uncultured Candidatus Methanoperedens sp. RNAcentral's name for it is "partial 16S ribosomal RNA". It matches the Rfam family "Archaeal small subunit ribosomal RNA", at positions 583 to 877 of the family's 1478-position model. Lineage: Archaea; Methanobacteriati; Methanobacteriota; Methanomicrobia; Methanosarcinales; Candidatus Methanoperedentaceae. The record is from RNAcentral.
ACUGUUAGGCUUGGGACCGGGAGAGGUGGGAGGUACUCCAGGGGUAGGGGUGAAAUCUCGUAAUCCUUGGGGGACCACCGAUGGCGAAGGCAUCCCACCAGAACGGGUCCGACGGUGAGGGACGAAAGCUGGGGGCACGAACCGGAUUAGAUACCCGGGUAGUCCCAGCUGUAAACGAUGCUCGCUAGGUGUCAGGUGCGGUGCGACCGCAUCUGGUGCCGCAGUGAAAACUUGAAGCGAGUCACCUGGGAAGUACGGUCGCAAGGCUGAAACUUAAAGGAAUUGGCGGGGGAGC